Molecule: ribosomal RNA, 449 nt
Filed under: uncultured bacterium
Lineage: Bacteria
Description: partial 16S ribosomal RNA
Rfam family: Bacterial small subunit ribosomal RNA
Source: RNAcentral
AGCGAACGCUGGCGGCAAGCUUAACACAUGCAAGUCGAACGAUGUAGCAAUACAUAGUGGCGGACGGGUGCAUAACACGUGGGAAUCUGCCUUUAGGUACGGAAUAACUCAGGGAAACUUGAGCUAAUACCGUAUAAAAUCUCCGGAUCAAAGAUUUAUCGCCUAAAGAUGAGCCCGCGUCAGAUUAGCUAGUUGGUGGGGUAACGGCCUACCAAGGCGACGAUCUGUAGCUGGUCUGAGAGGAUGAUCAGCCACACUGGGACUGAGACACGGCCCAGACUCCUACGGGAGGCAGCAGUAAGGAAUAUUGGACAAUGGGGGAAACCUUGAUCCAGCCAUGCCGCGUGAGUGAAGAAGGCCUUAGGGUUGUAAAGCUCUUUCAAUAGUGAAGAUAAUGACGGUAGCUAUAGAAGAAGCCCCGGCUAAAUUCGUGCCAGCAGCCGCAGUAA